This 925-nucleotide long non-coding RNA is filed under the name Medicago truncatula (barrel medic). RNAcentral describes it as "long non-coding RNA (MTRU_LNC001357)". Lineage: Eukaryota; Viridiplantae; Streptophyta; Magnoliopsida; Fabales; Fabaceae. The record is from RNAcentral.
UUGAACGGUCCUUUAAAAUAGACAAUUUCAAGAAUUGAACUCAGAUUCUUUUUCUCGGAUUAUUCAUUCAUCUUUUGUCAUUUUAUCAUUCAAGGGUUGCAUAAUGUUAAUAGAAAAAAUAAAAUAAUAUAUUCAUUAUAAGUCUAACUGUGACAAAUUAGAAGCUUAACCAAAAGAGGAUUAUUAAUAUUAAAAAUAAUACAUGGUUUAAUUAAAAUUACACUUAACCUUUGUAAACAAUGAAAUCCCAGUAGCACUGGGCACUGCCAGUGUGCCUGAAAAGGCAAUUAACAACAUAACAUAAUAGAAGCUGGAGAGUAAUUCUAGUCUGCAGUGUCAAUCUGACAUGACUCCUUCUUUGGCAUAUUCUCAGUAGCAGAAAAUAGAUUCUUAAUGGAAUUCAAAAAAGGAAAAUGGUCCCUAACUAUGAAAAUGAUAACAUCAAGAUAAUGCUUAUUUCAUUAUGGCAAACAUGUUUAAAAGCAGUGAGACAAUUACAAGGGAAGCACUAGCACUAUAGCACACAUACAGAGGCUUUUGUACAAAAUAUAUGUAAAGGAAUCUAUUAAAAAAGUGAAAACCCUUUAUUUUCUAAGACCUUUUUAUUACUACAUUUGUCUAUAAAAUAUAUAAAACAUUGUUGAUUAUGUUAAGCUGAUUUUGAAGUUGUUUUAGUCUUAUAUUUUUCAGGUUCUUGGACUAUUGAAUGCAUAAAUAUGUUUGGGAUGAGAUAUAAGUUCAUUUAACAUUUUAACAUGGUAUCAGAGUUAAGUUAAGGAUUACAAUGUGAGAAUUGGACUUAGACCCACACCACGCUAGACUUGAGGAUAGGUGUUGAAGUUGAUUUUGAAAUUGUAACUUGUAGUUUGUUUCUAGUCUCACAUUGCUCAGAUUCCUACAUUGUUGAAUGUAUAAACGGAUGAGA